Dermochelys coriacea (leatherback sea turtle) is the source of this 1254-nucleotide long non-coding RNA. RefSeq lists it as uncharacterized. The record is from RefSeq and is a predicted model, not a curated record. NCBI's taxonomy places the organism in Eukaryota, Metazoa, Chordata, Testudines, Dermochelyidae. The transcript has 4 exons.
GCUGCCCCUUCCCUCCGUUGUGCUUUGCUUGCGCCUGGAAGGAAGGAAGGCAGGAAGGAAGGAAGGCAGUCGCUCUCGGCGGCCAUUUGGCCCCUGGCAGGUUUAUCUGCGCGCCGCAGGCGCUUGCCCCAUAAGUCGCUCUGCUUUUUUCACCCCACACCAACGGUAUCUUCAUAUCCAGAAUAUUCAGCAGCAUUGCUACAUGGUGGCAGGAGAAGAGCAGCUAUAAGAAAUUUUCCAUCCAGAAUUGUGAGAUGAAGAGACUUGUGCAUUUUCUGGCCACUAACAAUGUAUGUUGAAGAUGUGCCUAUAUUCACAGAAGAACGUAUUGGUGAACACCUUCUGGGGUCAUUUAGCAGGCAUAGGCUUUUUCUUGAAGUCUGCAGGGCUGUAAAAAAUAGCUCUUUCCACUGGGGGCCACUGCUACAUAGGAGGAGAAGAGGAAAAUGGGAGCUGCCUGCAGGGACCAGAGUCAACACUGGUAUUGGAGCAACCUGCAGGAGAGAAGCCAGGAGUUGCCAAUGGAGCUUCCCCUUGAAGAAGGGAACCUAGCAUCAGAGGAAAUGAAAUUUGGAGAGAGCAAGCAUAAGAACUAGGCACUAGUCAAAACAGAGCUUCAGUGUGACUUAAGUGGUGUAUUGUCUUUGUACUAGUCCUCUGCACAAGGGUUGACCUCUCCUGGUAAGAAGAGGAUCAGGUAACUAUUUUCAGGGAGUAGAGAAAGAGUGAGAGAUAUAGGGCAAGUGGAGAUUGAGAGGAAUUGGAAAAUAGCAGAUGGGUGAGGGAAACACAUUGAAAAGCAAAACUAGUGAUUUUUUUUAAAUGUCAAAACACUUCUUGCUUUAAAGAUGGUUAAACAACUAAAUUUUCUCCUAACAUUACUCCUCCAUGUUAGCAGCUGCCACAGAGGAACUGAAUAAUUGUGGUUUCAGAGUAGCAGCCGUGUGAGCGAAGAGAUGAUCCACCAGGCACUUCCAUGACUAUGACGUGGCUCACACAAUAUGAAACUUGGAGCACUUUUGGACUAGAUGCCCAGAGGGCUUUUCCAGCUCUAUCCUCCCUAAAAAUUAAGGAUGGCGUUUGAGUCUUAUGCUAAUUUGUAAUGAAACAAGUAUAAUUUUCCCCUCCUCCCCAAAAUACCCAGAGUUAUAAACCUGCCUGGAAAAUACCAAUAUAAAAAGCAAAUCCAUUUUCAUUUGCAGGACUACAAAAAAGCAUUUGUAACCAUUGCCAUAUACAUUGAUUGAUAGAUUC